AUUUCUUUUUUUGUCCAAAGUGAGUUCAUACUGCCCUGAGCUCCUGAACAUCUGUCUAUGAGGCAUGCUUAAGGGUGCAGUCCCAUAGGACAAGCUGAGCCAAUCUAACAGCUCAUUGGAGCUGAAAGAGGAAGCUCUCAGGUCCAACAAUCCAAGAGAGGGAUACUUACAAUCCUAUUGCCAUAGGAUUAUUUCUCCUCAACACCAUUAAUCAUCAUCAAGGAAUGCCCAGACAGCCUUUAAAUUAGAGAUAAAUGUUGCAUGCAGCAACUUAAUGUUUUCUUCCAGAUGAAACUCAUAUAUACCCUUGGGCCUAAUACUCAUCCCUGCUGAAGCCCUCCGGAAGUUUUGUUCCCGCUUGACCUUGGACCUGCUGCAGGCUUGCCUGCUGAUCAGUGGACUGCAGCUGACCCUGGUCACCAUCACUGGACCUGCUGUGCCCUUCUUGUUGGGGCACUGUUGGACUGUGCCCCUUGUUGCUGCAGACACAGCCCACAGCUGAGGUUGUCACCCUCAGCUUCCAGCUUGCCUUCCCUUGCAGAGCAGCCCACUCCUGCUGCUCCCUGACACAAAGCUACUUCCCAUGGACAUCAAGGUUCAGGAAUGAGAAGGGGAGAAGGGUGAUGAAGUGAAGGAUGAUGAAGCAUGCUUGAGUUUUACCCAGUCAAGGUGGGUGUUGCUGGCCCAAAGAGCUCAGAAGUACUCCCGGCUCUGUCAAUUAGGCAUUCACAGAAUCAGCUAAACUUAAGAUGCAAUUGGGUAAAUUUACAGAUAGAUCGUAACCAAGAAAUGGAACGUUAAGAAGAAUCCCAAGCCUAUAAUGAAGUUGAAGUUCAGCACUUGAACUAAUAUAGAUCAGCCUUGGUAAAGAAUGCAGGUGAAGUUACGAACUUCCUCCUGCUUUGUGGUGGGCAUAUAAAAUAGCAAGCCAAUUCAGAUUCUUGAAACGGUAAUCAUCAACUAUUAAACAGACAGGUAUGUAUUCAGAUACUGUGAAUAGUAUUAAAAGCCAUUCAUAUUGAUGCCCCACUUGCCAAUUAUCAUUAAAAAUAACUUUAUGGUUUGGCUAGAAUACAGUGACUCACUACAGUAGUGAGUAUAGUAUUUCUUUUACAGCAGCUUUUAUGAAAAUAUGACAUAGUUGUGGAAUUGCCUAGUAAUAUUUGAAUUACCAGAUGUGACCACUGUUACGGGUUCAGUUGAAUAUAAAUAAUGAUGUGACAUAUGCUUUACAGAAAGGCACAUUAGGGAAUAAACAUCCAUUAUGAUAAUGGUAAAAUUGCUUUCAGAAGGCAGUCGGAAGAGCCCUUAACUGGGACUCAGGAUGCAUCUGUCCUGUUCCAUAAUCCAUUCAAAUGACUUUACUUCAUUAGUUCUCAUUUCUGGAAUCCUUGAAAUCUACCAAUAACCAAGACUUUUUUGGUGGAUAUUCUUUAUGAUAAGUAUGAGGACUUUGCCUUCCCUCUUUUACCUGUCAGUUGUCACAUGAUGUUAGCCCAAGUAUAUCAAAGCUUAUCAAUGCUCAUAAGCUCUUAUUAGCAAUGAUUUGCUAGAUCCGAGAUGACUCCCUAUAAUUAUCUCCAAUAAACUUUGGGUACCGGGAAGCCUUACCCUUUAGUUCACCUAAGCAAGUUCCAUCCAUUCAUAUAUUGAUUUUCUUUUUGGACAAAUAUAUGGAUGAUAUUCUUAGUUGCAAUUAUAUUUCUGGAUUUACUUAUGCCAAAAGUAUACAGAAAAAAAUCUUCAGAUUUCCUUCUUUGCAUUUGUUCUGUCAUCUUACUGUGAGAAAGAGUAAGCGGGGGGCACAAUUGAUGCCCUCUAUAUCUCUCGUUGUUUUGCAUGCUUCUGUAAUAUAUGCUCUGUAGCAAUCUUCUUUGUAAGUUUGUCAGUCAUAAUCCUUUUCUUCCCCCAGAAUUUGUUCAUGGAGAUGUCUUUUACUGUCUCAAAUCCUUUAAUUGUUUGGUUUGAAUUCUUUUAGCUGUUAUCACUUCCUUCAUAAUACUUCUUGGCAAUAGUUAUAAACAUGUUUUUUCUCAGAAACCUUCUUUCACUUUUCCAGUAAUACAUCAAUUUUAGUGUAAUUCCCCUUGCUUCUCAUGAGCUAUUAAGACACAUUGUAUGUCUUUUACUGUACAGCUUCUAAUAUGUGUGAUUGUAGAUAUAAUUGCACCAGGCACUUCCGUCUCAGCUGUGAAUCACAAGCAUUGCACUGAUACUGCUU
Molecule: long non-coding RNA, 2221 nt
Organism: Dromaius novaehollandiae (emu)
Lineage: Eukaryota; Metazoa; Chordata; Aves; Casuariiformes; Dromaiidae
Exons: 3
Source: RefSeq, a predicted model, not a curated record